CCUACGGGAGGCAGCAGUGGGGAAUAUUGGACAAUGGGCGAAAGCCUGAUCCAGCCAUGCCGCGUGUGUGAAGAAGGCCUUCGGGUUGUAAAGCACUUUCAGCGAGGAAGAACGCUUCGGGAUUAAUACUCCCGAGGAAAGACAUCACUCGCAGAAGAAGCACCGGCUAACUCCGUGCCAGCAGCCGCGGUAAU
RNAcentral lists this ribosomal RNA (194 nucleotides) under uncultured bacterium. RNAcentral's name for it is "partial 16S ribosomal RNA". It matches the Rfam family "Bacterial small subunit ribosomal RNA", at positions 338 to 524 of the family's 1533-position model. The record is from RNAcentral.